RNAcentral lists this ribosomal RNA (305 nucleotides) under uncultured bacterium. RNAcentral describes it as "bacterial SSU rRNA". It matches the Rfam family "Bacterial small subunit ribosomal RNA", at positions 335 to 637 of the family's 1533-position model. The record is from RNAcentral.
CCCCCUCCGGGACGCAGCAGUGAGGAAUAUUGGUCAAUGGUCGGGAGACUGAACCAGCCAAGCCGCGUGAGGGAGGAAGGUACAGAGUAUCGUAAACCUCUUUUGUCAGGGAACAAAGACUGGGACGCGUCCCCGGAUGAGUGUACCUGAAGAAAAAGCAUCGGCUAACUAUGUGCCAGCAGCCGCGGUAAUACAUAGGGAGCAAGCGUUAUCCGGAUUUAUUGGGUGUAAAGGGUGCGUAGACGGGAAAUUAAGUUAGUUGUGAAAUCCAUCGGCUUAACUGAGGAACUGCAACUAAAACUGAU